Molecule: ribosomal RNA, 509 nt
Filed under: uncultured bacterium
Lineage: Bacteria
Description: bacterial SSU rRNA
Rfam family: Bacterial small subunit ribosomal RNA
Source: RNAcentral
AGAGUUGAUCAUGGCUCAGGAUGAACGCUGGCGGCGUGCCUAACACAUGCAAGUCGAGCGGACCUGAUUAAGUGAAUAGCUUGCUAUGAACUUAUGACUGGUUAGCGGCGGACGGGUGAGUAACGCGUGGGUAACCUGCCUCAUACAGGGGGAUAGCAGUUGGAAACGACUGGUAAUACCGCAUAAGCGCACAGUACCGCAUGGUACAGUGUGAAAAAACUCCGGUGGUAUGAGAUGGACCCGCGUCCGAUUAGCCAGUUGCGGGUAACGGCCCACCAAAGCGACGAUCGGUAGCCGGCCUGAGAGGGCGGACGGCCACAUUGGGACUGAGACACGGCCCAGACUCCUACGGGAGGCAGCAGUGGGGGAUAUUGCACAAUGGAGGAAACUCUGAUGCCAGCGACGCCGCGUGGGUGAAGAAGUAUUUCGGUAUGUAAAGCCCUAUCAGCAGGGACGAUAAUGACGGUACCUGACUAAGAAGCCCCGGCUAACUACGUGCCAGCAGCUGC